GGAAUAUUGGGCAAUGGGCGAAAGCCUGACCCAGCGACGCCGCGUGAGGGAAGAAGGUCUUCGGAUUGUAAACCUUUUUUAUUCGGGAAGAAGAAAGUGACGGUACCGAAAGAAUAAGCCACGGCUAACUACGUGCCAGCAGCCGCGGUAAUACGUAGGUGGCAAGCGUUAUCCGGAAUUACUGGGUGUAAAGGGUGUGUAGGCGGGUCAACAAGUCAGAUGUGAAAAUUAUGGGCUCAACUCAUAACCUGCAUUUGAAACUGUAGAUCUUGAGUGUCGGAGGGGUAGAUGGAAUUCCUGGUGUAGCGGUGAAAUGCGUAGAUAUCAGGAGGAACACCGGUGGCGAAGGCGAUCUACUGGACGACAACUGACGCUGAGACACGAAAGCGUGGGGAGCAAACA
Molecule: ribosomal RNA, 402 nt
Filed under: uncultured bacterium
Lineage: Bacteria
Description: bacterial SSU rRNA
Rfam family: Bacterial small subunit ribosomal RNA
Source: RNAcentral